Molecule: ribosomal RNA, 593 nt
Filed under: Cophyla alticola (Madagascar giant treefrog)
Lineage: Eukaryota; Metazoa; Chordata; Amphibia; Anura; Microhylidae
Description: partial large subunit ribosomal RNA
Rfam family: Bacterial large subunit ribosomal RNA (bases 1-406)
Source: RNAcentral
GACCCCCCGAAACUAAGCGAGCUACUCCAAAGCAGCCUCAUAGGGCCAACCCGUCUCUAUAGCAAAAGAGUGGGAAGACUUUAGAGUAGAGGUGAUACACCUACCGAGCUUAGAGAUAGCUGGUUAUUCAAGAAAAGGAUUUUAGUCCACCUUCAAGUUUUUCAAGUACUAUAAAACACCCAACAAACUUAAAAGUCAUUCAAAUAAGGUACAGCCUGUUUGAAAAAGGAGACAGCCUACAAUAUAGGGUAAUGACAUACCUUAUGUGACCAAGUCGGCCUAAAAGCAGCCAACUUCCAAAAAGCGUCCAAGCUUCAUCACAAGCCUUCAUCAAUUCCACAAUUAACUCAUAACCCACAACCACUACCGAAUACUCCUAUACCCCCUAUAGGAAAUAUUAUGCUAGAACUAGUAAAAAGAAGAAGAGCUUCUCCAAAAUGUAAGCGUAAGCCUAAAUGAACCCUCACCGGCACUUACCGCCAUAAACCCGUAGCAUCAACACAUCAAGAAAAUCAUGCUCCAACUGACGUUAACCUUACACUAGAACAUUCCCGGAAAGAUUAAAAAAGGGGGAAGGAACUCGGCAAACAUUA